RNAcentral lists this long non-coding RNA (2180 nucleotides) under Pectinophora gossypiella (pink bollworm). Its description in RNAcentral is "uncharacterized LOC126370344". Lineage: Eukaryota; Metazoa; Arthropoda; Insecta; Lepidoptera; Gelechiidae. The record is from RNAcentral.
UCAGCAGGAAAGAAGUAACACUUACCGGUUUGUGUGAUUUUGGUUUAAAAGUACGUAGGUACAUCACCUUUAUCUUCAGGCCAUACUGCCAGGCUAGCCCGAAACAUUCCUAAUGACCAGUCUUAAUAUGAUUCCUCUUACCUUCAUUUGUUAGGAGUGGAAAUAUUAUCAUAAUUGAAUUUGUAAGAUUUUGACUGCAAAAAUGAACCAAAAGUGGUUUUGAUUAGGGGCGUAGUGUAGUGGACAAAAUGUGUUUGUAGUGAGAAGCAGUGGUGGUUUUGACUGGUUAUUUAUGAGUUUUGAGAGUUUUCAUAACAAAAAUAUCUUAUUAUCGCCACCUUACACUAUAUAUACGUGUACCAUCUUUAUAUGUAUUUAUUACUAGAAAUUCGUAAAAACAUGUAUCAUUUUACACAAUAAAACCGAAAAAAUAAGUCAUGUUAAACCACUUGACACAAAUUCGUUAUACUUUAUCGUUUGUGUCAAUUGAUAUAAGUUACGUUUCUUUACUUUUUAAAGAAAAUAAAUAGAAUUUUGCCUUUCUACAACUUUAUGAAAUAAACUUUCUUCCAAGACAUUUUGUUUUUUGUAGAAUAAGACUGUAAAAUUAUUAAUUGAAAUAUGAUAUAUCAACGAUGACUUUUGUAUAGUUAUGUGUGUAAAAAGGUAUAACUAGACUUGUAUCAAUUUACACAGUAUAAAAGUUGGUGUCAACUGAUACAUGUAAUUUAUUUUGAUCCUCUACCAUUUCUGUUUAGGUUCUAAAUAUUAGAAAAGAAACCUUCCAUCAUCACCUAUCGACACAUCUAACUUCUGUUCCAUUAUUCCUUAUAAGUCGCGAGCUAGAAUGUUUUUAACUUUAAACUCGAUUUUCUCAAAACUUGAAUUUUGGACUUGUAUUACUUUUCACCGACGGUCAAAGACCUUGUAUAUUCUAUACAAGGUCUUUGCCGACGGUACAGAAUUUUCCUUUUAUUCUACUCGCAUAAUAAUUUAAUAAUAUGGUGUAUAGUAGUGUUGCCGCGAUAGUGCCCUAUCGAUAGUUUUCGAUCGAACUAUCGAUAGUUUUGUACGAUCGAUAGGGUCCUUAAUUCCGAUAGUAUUGUAAAAAAAAUCCCAUCCACUCAUUUAACAGUUUUUUUUUAGUAUCGAUGCUAUCGUUGCUUAUCAAUAGUAUCGCCAAAAACGUGUUAUCGAUAGGCCUAUCCGUUGGGUAGAUGAUUUAUCAAAAUAAUAAUAUUAAAUUAAUAUCCCUAACUUGAAAUUUAACAGUUCUAAUUUAAAAAAAAGGUACCGCCUGUCUGACCUUCCAACCCCCGAAGGGAAAACCAGCACCAAAGACCAAGUAUUAGAAUCAUUGAAAUACUUGGUCCUUGGUUGCGAGAAUUUCGAUUAGUGUUGCCGAUCGAUAGACAACUAUCCUAUAUAUUAAGAUAUAUGUAGAAGUGAGGAUCGCGACCACAGGUUAUGGUUUUCCACUUGGUACGGCUAUAUGCUGCGUGCACCGCCCUCUGUAUGCUGCCGCCCAUCGUCUUCUUCACGAUGUCAGAUCACCUCGUAGGCGCCCUUCCUCGCGCACGUUUGCCAUCUAUUUGCCCAAAGAUGAUCUGCUUCUCCAGACUGUGCUUCGGAGACCGCAUAAUAUGUCCGAAGAAGCUUAGGGCACGAUUCCGGCAUAUUGAGGAGAGCCGCGUCGUGAUCUUGAGCUCUUUUAAUAUGGACUCAUUCGUACACGUAAAAAGCCUUAAAUUACCAAGUAGAGAAAGUCCGGCAUGAGGUGAGCACGAAGUUUUGAAGACAGGAGUGAUUGUAUUAGAUUUCCUCCUGAGCAGUUGCACUACAAAUUUAGUGAUGAAGAGGCAAUACUUGACAGAAACCUUAAGUGGGAUGACAUAAUUAUAAAGAAAAUCAAUAAGAGGAUGAACUCUUUUAAUGUUUGUAAAACAAUAGUAUGGAAGAAUUUUGAUGCAUCUUGGAGCAAUGGCAACAUAUUUGGGAGUUGUGAGUGACAACGAGCAGAUUACAUAACAAUGGGAGGAUAACAAGGGCCUUAACUGAAAAAACUGGUGAAUGUUCCCAAAUAAACCUCACAGAUGUAGAAGAAACACAAAAUAAAUUUGUUUAUUUAUUUUAUUUCUGUUCCCUACUAAACUAGUAAUAAAACAUACUUUUUACAAAUA